Molecule: ribosomal RNA, 381 nt
Filed under: Pinna nobilis
Lineage: Eukaryota; Metazoa; Mollusca; Bivalvia; Pterioida; Pinnidae
Description: partial 16S ribosomal RNA
Rfam family: Bacterial large subunit ribosomal RNA
Source: RNAcentral
CCUUUUAAUUGGAGGCCUGCAUGAAUGGCUUGACGAGCGCCCUGCUGUCUCUCUUCCCAUGAACUUUUAAAUUAACUUUCGCGUGCAAAGGCGCGAAUGGCUGAGUUAGACGAAAAGACCCUAUGCAUCUUUACUGAGAGAGAAGAAAGUUCUUUAGCUUGGUUUAGCUGGGGCAGCUGAGGAAAAGGCAAAAUUUCCUUAAUAUAAAUCAUACUGGUGGGUUUAGAUCCAGGCUCUUUAGCGGGCUUGACAAGUAGAAAAGUUACGCUAGGGAUAACAGCGUUAUCCUUCUGUGGAGGUCUUAUCUGCAGGAGGGAUUGCGACCUCGAUGUUGAAUUAGGGAUAUACCAGAAAGGCGCAGAAGCUUUUAUUGUGGGUCUG